GUCGAACGAGGAACGCGUAAAUCGAACUGUUUAGAACGAUUUAUCAGCGUGGCGAUAAAGAAAGAAGGAGAAGCGGCGGGAUAAUUUUCAUAGAUUCGACCGGCGUGCAGAUUUCUAUCUUGAAGCUGCGGCCGCGAUAACACGUCGGCUAAGUUCGGUCAUACCGCGGCAGAUAAGGGGUGGGAGUUAAGAAAGGAGCAUUACUUUCGUAGUAAACACACAAAUAUUUCUGGAAACAAUGGGAAGAGCACCGUCGUGAUUCUGAUCGUUCGGGAUUCUUCAGCGGAACCGAGCCAGCCACGGAUAGAAAUGUUUUGCAGCGUCGAACUUAUCUCUCCUCUUUUACCCCCCGGCGUUUCUCAGACGACCGACACAGCGUCUGUGCGUCGUUCGACAACGUUUUGGCACUAGUUGUCACGACCGGCAAUUUCUCAGGAAAUUUGCUUAUCGCCAUGUUCUCGAAAUUUCGCCGUCUUUAUUCCGACUUACGAGCCGUUUCAUACGGGCCAAAGUGAUUGUAACUCCACUUUUCGAAAUUUUGGAAAUGUCGGAGGUUUUAGUCGCCGAAACGCUCGAUCGAUGCUUAUUUUGUAAAAUUUCAUCCAUUACCUCUGCCGUUUGCUUUGUCAAGCCAAACUGUUUGGCAAAUAAGCCGCUCAUAUCGGAUAUACGUAUAUCUUCGAGGAUCGGAAACACACUAACGAAGUAUCGAAGCGAGAACCAAUGAAUUGUCGCAGUUAUCUUCCAUAAAUCUUCUGUAUCUCGAAAUAUUGUCAAGGAUAAUUCAAGCUCGUCCGAUCGGAGGAUAUACGGCCGCGAUGAAUAUUCCUUUUUUUCCCGAAAACGAUCGAUGUUUGUUUAUCUGAAAUCGAUACGAUGCGAAUCGUAAAAAGAUACGAUAAAAGCAAAUCGAUGUACAACUAUUUCGCACUGCUCGUGAUCGUUCGAUUAAAUUAACGGCUUUCUCAAUUAAAGUUCCAUCCGGCAUUUUUUCGUUGUUUCCACGUGCAUUGGAAAACCUCGAAUAUCUUCGGUCGAAGGAGAAAAAGAUGGCAAAAUAGUAAACGUAAUUUGUUAUUUAUUUAGAGAUACGAAACUGUAUUUAGUCUGUGAAAUCGAAGACGUUGGAAACAGGGGAGACGAUUCGCGGCACGAUAUUCAGACAGACGAUAUCAUUCGCGUUCGGGGAGCAACGUGCACUCGCGGCAUCUAGAUUCCGAUGAACAGGCGAGCCGCGAUGGUGUAUUGAUCUUUUUAGUGGCGUACCGUCUCCACAGACGCAAUCCAACUGCCGGUGCAGACUAAAGGUCUACAUUUCCCCGGAGACGGAUACGUUUCGCUAUUCCUAUAACACGCAAUUUGACCAGGGAAUAUUGCGUUCGCGAAUACACACGCUCGAUGUAUGUAGCUACUUACAACGACCAUCGACAGAGAUAGACGAGCAACGCCAGAAAGAGCCGUGUACACCGAUAAAACACGCGACCCGAGUCUGUGUUCUUGUAAUCGGCCGCGAGAACCCCGAUCUGCACCAAUUUAACGCGCACACGCGCACAACCGUCUUCACAUAUACUGCUCACUAUACGUACACAUUCGCGAAAGCACGACAGAAACGCGUAACCAUAUAGCGAUAUUCCAGUAGCAAUCUCGAAAUCGUAAAAAGUUAGCAAAUUCGUCGAAUAUCGUACGACACGCGAAUUAUAUCGGAGAAAUAAAAAAAUUUGGUAUUAGAAUUGGUUAAAGGUAGGAAACGAGAAUCGAGGAUGGAGAGGUUAAAGUAAACCGAGCGAACAACGAUACGGUUCGCGUAGGUGAUAUUUUUGAGGGAUCUGUACGUAGAAAGGAUGAGCGGCCGUCGGACGACGUCGCUUUCAGCUAGCGCCACUCCGUCUAGCGCGACGUCUACGCUCUGUCAACUUUGUUUUAUAUUUAAUCCGGGCCGCUUUAGCAAACAGUAAACAAACACUGUAUCGCAUAAGCGCCGCUCGAAUUAGCCUCGAUACCAUUUCAAACGGCCGACUCGCAUUUAUGAAGAUGACCGGGGAUGCUGGCCCACCCGAGAGAAUUUCACGUACUUACUUACAUAUAUACGUAGAAAGCCAGUGAACGGAACGUGAACGGCGCGGGUGGGGGAAGAAGAGUGCCGAAAGCGCCACGGGCCACGAUGUGGUAGUGGUGGUGGUGGAGAGCGACGGUAGAAUAGCGAGACAAAGUAGCGAUGGUAGGGGUAAGAUAGUAGUGGGGCGAGCCGCCAGAGGGAACUGGUGGGGACACGGCUGACGUCACGGAAUGCCGUGGUACCGCCUACCCGCAUGCAAUGGGCGGGAGUCUGGCGACGAUUUACGACCGUCGAUCACGGCGACAUCUAGUGACGGCGCCACGAACUCAACCUGCCUCACCGGUGGCCAUUACGAUCCCACGAUUGGCUGAGUACACGGUACAACGCGAAUCAGGCGACGGUUUAAAUAUGGAUUUUUUUCUUGGCCACGAAAUCGCGGCGACCGUGUCGUAUAAAUCAGGAUUGAUUUUCAAAGGGAAUCAUGGGAGGUCGAGCCGCAGCCGCGAUGUCCCUUUUAGCCCCGCAUUUGUUUCCGGCGGUAAAUCUAUAUUUGGCUAAUCGAACCGACGCUACUGCACACCGCGCCGUUUCCGCUGCUUUUUCGGAAGCCGCGACCAAAAGAUCGCCGUUUCGACUUUUCACGCUUUCUGUCUUCCGUUAGUCAACAAACUUUUUCAACGUUACGUCGAGUUACGACAGUUCACUGACCUCACCUUUGUCGUCGGUGUUAUAAAAUCUCCUUUGAUUCAUUUCUAGUUAUGAUCGAUUGUGACGGAAUUAAGAUUACUCUGGUAUUUGGCAAAUUGUUGUUAAAGAGCAGGAUUAACGAAAGGAGUGUAAUGGAGACAGAAACAUUAGGAACUGCAGUUACGAAUAUUUUGAAUUUGAAUGCCUGAGAUUAUUCUUUACGUGUAAUCCCGAGGAACGUGUAAUCCCCAUGGAAUCGGUAACUGAGCCGCUCUUACGGUCGAUGCACAAACUAGAUCGACGAUACUUAAACGGUAAAGCAUCCUAAUCCUCGUGAAAUGCGCAGAGGCUAAUGAUCACAUGCAGCUUGCAGUGUACAUCGCAAUAAACUGGAUGUGGACAAGUAAUGCCUUCAUUGACAGCUUUUCGCUAAAUGUUCCUAGCAUUUCUUUAAGGAGCCAAGGACGGCCGUUUGACGACCAACAGAAUCCAUGGGGUUAAGCGGACAAGAGUUAGUUCCACUUCGACCUACGCUCCUCUAACACCAUCGUUUCGUGUGCUGCGUCAAAAAAGUCGCGCGUGUACUGUGAUAUUAUCAUAGAAAGAGUUACGCUGCCUACCAAAAGUAUUGGCACAUCUAUUGAUAUUUAGUGCAAACUGAAUACUCUUCGGGUAUUUUAUUUAUAUCGUACCUGCACUGUGAUAUAAAAUAUCAAAAAAAAUAAAGUGUUUAUUCGAAUUUUUCAAUGAGUGUAACGAGUAGGUGUUGCGAUACUUAUGGUCGGUGGUGUACAUUUUGCUUAAAGGCUCGACGAGUGUUAUAUGAAUUUGAAGUAGUGAGUUUGAAUGUGCAAGGAAUGCGGUGGUUGUUCUCUCCGGAUAAAGAUGAGCCCUUGUUCGUGUGAUAACAUGUUUGCUGAUAAUGAGUAGGUAGGUGCUCUCUGGUGCACAGCCGACAUCUUCUUUUCUAUCCACUUGUGGCGUGUACUUUGUAUCUGUGCUUGGAACGUAACAAGAAGUUGAAGAGGAUCUUUGCACAGAAAAUUCGAAGCAACCAGAUAACAAGUAUGUAACGAAAAAUUUGUGCAGCUUCUUUAGGGAAUUAGUAAGGGAAUAGGAAGUUGUGAAACUAAGCAGCAAGUUCCUUUCGAUGAAAGUACGAGAAAAACAAGUUGAUUGGGUUGCAUUGGUGAAAUGUCACGAAGGUUAUCACGAAUGAAACCAUUUUUCAUUCAUUAACCGACCGUGUCUCGACGAAUAUUCUGGAAGAUGAACAUACUUGGAACUGUGCGGAUGACAGUACAAAGAUAAGCUGUCGUUAUCAGUCGACGAAACGACGCCUUGCCGAGCAUUUGCUUCCGUAAAGUGUUUCUCGUUCGCCGAGAUAGUUAGGGUAUUUUAAAAAAUCUCGUCAUCAAACAGAAAGCACACAGUGGAAAUCAGAAACACCGAGUAAUACGGUAAAAUUAUAUAAAAGAAAUUAUGUAAAAGAAAUUUCGAAAUACACGCAGAGUUCGUAACUCGGUCUCAUUUAUAACUCAGUUUCCGGGCUAUAUUUCACCGAAAGCAGUGGGUUCCACAUUUCCUGCAAACGAUAAUUUCUCUUACAGUCAAGUGCCAAAAACUGCAUGAAGCACAGCCCGUGACAAACGCGUUUGUACAUAGCAUAAGUAUGGUAGGAUCGUUGGCGUUGAGGCAGGUCAAGAACUCGUUGCCAUAUCAAUAUACUUAAGUGAAAUGAUACGAGGCAGUCGUAAAACCCGACAGUAAUGACGCAUUAGGGGGUUGCCGGGCCGAUUUAGUUGGCUAUCAAACAAAAGGCAACUUUUACUGAAUCCAACCGAGGCGGAGGCGCGCGUUUUAAAAGGUUCGGUCGAAGGAGUGCGCGGCGGCCAUUUAUACCUGACGUUUUAUGCGUUUUAUAGGUGCGACGUGCGUCUCGUGUGCCAAACGGCGCAUAAAAGUGCAAGCAGAUUGCUCGUUCUCCUCGUUACCGCGUUACGGAUUAUUCUUAAAAUUUCACACCUCCCAGCCAACUCGGAAACUAUUCACCGGUGGAUUCGCCAUUAAUUCUUCCACACCACGCUACGUUUUAUUCUAUUUGUUUCUUGCUUCCACUCGCAUGGUAAAUUAUAUAUGUCGCGUUUUAUGCUUCGUAUUCGAUCGACUUGAGAAUCAAUUAUUCACAAGUGUUUCUACUUUAUAUUAUUACUAUCUAACGAUGUCCGAAUGUUAUCGACAAUAAUUAUAUCAGAAUCGUGACGUUAAUAGUUUUAUAAUUGUAAUACAAAUAGACGACGGUGUUCGUAAUUAUGAUCGUUUCUUUGCAUUAGAAAUUAAACAUAAAUUCUUAACACGCGGAAAUGAAAUUGAUAAAAUCAAUGUUUUCUGUCGACGAUAUGAUUUCACGCUGUAAAAAGUCUGAUAAAAGAGCAGAAGAAAUAAUGGCUAUACGGACAAGUAUAAUAAGAAGGCGGCGCAUAGUUUUCUUAAGAAAAUGGAUGAUGAAUAUUUAGUGCGACAACAACAAUAGAUUAUCAGCAGCAUAAAGCGUGACCCGGAUAAGGUUUGAGGCAGCAUUUGGAAUCAUAAAUACAGUCGCGAUACAACAUCAGUAAACGUGCUUUUCCUGCGGAACGAAUAAUGCUUUCAAUGCGCUGGCACUUGCUUUCAUAAACCUGAUAUUAAGUUCGCGUUUAUCAUAAAACACCGAGUGUUCGCGUUAAGGGAAAAAAAAGAAAGAAAAUGAUAAUUUAUAGAGAAUUGUAUCGUUAAAAAUCCGAUUAGAGAUUCUUUCACGAGGAACGCGAUUUUUAUUACGUGUAUAAUACACGUGCAUUUGGAGUACCGAGCAAACCCGGCGAGAACUUCUUAGAUUUAUGAGCGCUACUAUACGCGCGAAAAGGAAAGACAGAAGGGAGAAAGUAGGAAGAUUGAUGGGAUCAAUAUGCAGUAAGUUUGAACAAUGCGUUUGAGGCUAAUGGGGGAGACGCGCCGUGAAAAACUUUGAUAUUAUCCCUAGCCAGGAAUACUUCUGCAUUCAAAAUUUAUUAACGAUUAUAACCUGGCGAAGGUAAAUAGAAAAUUAAAAAGUACGCGGCUACGUGUGAUUAUUCAGCUCGUUUUAAUUGUAAUUAUGAAAUGUAUGAAAAAAAAUGAAAAAUUACUGUCGAUGCAGAAGAUAAUAUACUUAAGCAUCUGCAUGCUCGAGUUAAUGUAAAUUCGAGAGGCUGUAAGUUGCCUGAACAACUCACGAUCAUCGAAUAUUGCGAAAUUUUAAAGGUCUAAUUAUUUAUUUCAAGUCUAUAAUGUAAUAAAAAAAUAAUUUUACUCGCCUUUUUAUUCAUUUUAAUUGGUUAUGUAGCGUAAAACGAAACAAAUGAAAUUUUGAUUCUUAUCGUUGUACCAAAAUAUAACAAGCUGGGUUGAAUCGAUUCGACUAGAAAUCUGGCCCUAAUGUGAAUUCGUAAUACGGAAAAUCGUGGAUGGAAAGAUAAGUGAGUAGCUCAAAAUGCAAAUGAUAAAUGUAAAUAUUUAAUCAUUGCGAUCGUAUACGCUGAACGACAAAUGUCGGAAUGAAAAUUUUAUAAAAAUUAAUUAGGCAUUCGCGCGAGUAAGAUAGGAUUGGAGAGUUUUCACGUGGUAACUGUAUAAUAUGUAUCUAAAAAAAAAAUGUCCGCCAAAUGAAAUUUUAGACCGUAGGAUAAACGUUGGUUAUAUGAGCAACGAUUGUGCCGACGACAAUUUCACUAUAUCGCUUAUUAAUUGCUUGAAAUGCGCAUCAAAUUAGUUGAGCUCGUAAACGAUACGUCACGUAUUCAAUUUACAAUCAUGACACUCGCGAUGAAAUAAAUUGAUGCUAUUGCGAUACUAUCGUUCGCAUAAUAAAUGCCGCGUUAUCGAAUGCAUACAUUCGGGAUAUUAGUUCAAUAUUCCUACAUAUAUAUAGACGAGAGCGAAGCAAUUAAUCGGCAAAGUUUUUCAGUUCGCGGGACGCCAGCGGAUUUAAUGAAUUUAUAAAAUAUAGCCGCCAUAUUGAAAAGCGUAUAACAUCGAACGAAAUUGAUGGUCGAAACACCAAUUACAAGAUAGAAGCUAUAAACCUACGAUUUAACGUGGACGGCGAGCUUGAAAGGAGAAUAUGAAAAAUAAAAUCACCAGCAGAGAAACGUUAAAGGGUAACUAAUAUUCUCCACUAUACGUUUCUAUUAUUUUCGUUACGAACCAGGCAUACGAGAAGAGAAUACGAAGACAUAAAAGGUAGAAAAAAGGGAAAAAAGGAAAGGAGACUUCUCUGCCAAAAAGGAUAUUGCAAAGUCACAGAGCGAGAGAUUAAACCAUGCUUCGAAUUCGAAUCUAUAAGUGUUUUGCUCCUCCGGGAAUCGGGCGGCGGCACGUGUCAAAGGGUGGAAGAAGAAGAAGAAAUUCAGCGACCGGGCAAUAAUGCGCAAGCGUAAACUGCGAUGGAGUUACUGGGAUUGUGAACGUGGCCGAGCGAGACGGCGUCUAUAGUCAAGAUGGCUGCCCUACUCCCUCCAUCGCGUCUCCCAUCGCUAUACCGGUUGGCGCGCCUGCCUCGAGGAGAACCAAGCCACAGCUCACAUCGCUAGCCAGAAACGGGUACAUACAAUCGCAUACUGUUUCGUCUACACUUACCCCAAAUAUUUUUAAACUUCUUCCACGCUCUUUUCUUCCUCUUUUUCUUGACGCGACGUCCGCCGCCGCGGCUUUUCGGUUGUUCCGCUGACUGUCGACGUGUACAGCCCUCCGAAAUCGUCGUCAUCCUUCCCCGUGGUCGUUGAUUUUCCACGAAAAGACACGCACGAAAAUGUAUCGUGCUGUGCGUCUGCUGACGCUCACGCAGCGCAGCGCUGCUCGACACACGCAGCAGUAGACGAAUAGAAUACGAAGGAGGGGAACGACGACAAGGGCGGGUUACAUGAAAGAUACAUGUAAGGGGGAAACUUGGAAAUUUCUGAUCUAUCUCGUGCACGCUGUAAAAAAUAAUGCGUCUGUUCUGUACAUUGGUAUUUUAAACUUCUUGUUACAUCGUUUUAUUAUAGCAUUAAAACGUCUAUAAACGUCUCUAAAUUCUUUCAAUGAAAAAUCUAAAGAAAAUAGAAUAUGUUAUCUUACGUCGUAUUUAAAUUCCAGAAAGGAACUACAUAAUCAUGCUGCGUCGAAUAAAGAAAGGACGUACGACUGAAAUAAAUACUUUUAGCGAAGACUGCGUACCAUUUAUAAAAUCGUACCGUUUCGGAAGCUGUAAAAUAAGUCGUCAUUAAAAAAUGUCCAAGGAAUAAUAUCGCGGCUCUUAUUUCGAAAAAUUAUUCGUAAUAAAACUUUCUUAAUGUCGGAGAAAAACGGAAGCGACUCUUUCUCCUUCGGCUGACUGAAACGAGCCUGGUAAUAGAGGCGCGUGUGUAAAACCAAACAAUAUCGAUCGUUAAAGCCACCGUGAAGGGAUAGUUUUCUUGGCUUCGAAAGGCUCGCGGAAGAUUUCCUAAAUCGCGCGGCAGUAACCGAGAUUCUUACCUGUGAGUCAAAGAGGCGGUCUAAGGAUAGGCAAAACUAGGGAUAAGUGGAAGAGAAAGGUCUGUGGUGGAAAAAGGAUAAAGUGACGGAGGCUGCGACAGAUGGACCGUGCGCGGAAGGUGGAAGGAGAAUCCUAAGAUGGCUGCCGUGUGUGCACGGCGUACGCGUCGCGUGCAACAACAACGUGGGUGAGCUAACGGGUGCCCGAUGUGGAAGUGCAAGCCAUAACUCGGUGAUUUUUCUCGGGAGUGAAUUCCAUUCUUGUCGACGAGUUUCGUUGAAAACGUUUUCGUAAACCGGCAGAAACGUAGCUCAGCGCACGGCCACGCCCUUGGCACGGGCAGCCAUCUUGCGUGUCAGCUGAGCGCGAUGCACCACGGUAGUCAGUGUUGCAACCUUAGCAACCAUCACGCGACUUACGCUGCGUGUACCCCUUGCCAACAUUGGCUGACGCUACUGUUCAGAAUGCAGAAGCGGAUUCGCGUAGGCACCGUUACGUGAUAGACAGGAUCAACGUCUGCAGGACGAUGGGGUAAGGAAGAUAUUGCUAAGCCGCAUUGGACAUGGUUGCAAGG
RNA transcript from Bombus terrestris (buff-tailed bumblebee), 8853 nucleotides. It is a transcript of the gene named homeotic protein ultrabithorax, with no coding region annotated. The record is from RefSeq and is a predicted model, not a curated record. Lineage: Eukaryota; Metazoa; Arthropoda; Insecta; Hymenoptera; Apidae. The transcript has 8 exons.